RNAcentral lists this transfer RNA (85 nucleotides) under Methylobacteriaceae bacterium. RNAcentral's name for it is "tRNA-Leu". It matches the Rfam family "tRNA". Rfam says of the family: Transfer RNA (tRNA) molecules are approximately 80 nucleotides in length. Their secondary structure includes four short double-helical elements and three loops (D, anti-codon, and T loops). Lineage: Bacteria; Pseudomonadati; Pseudomonadota; Alphaproteobacteria; Hyphomicrobiales; Methylobacteriaceae. The record is from RNAcentral.
GCCCCUGUGGCGGAAUUGGUAGACGCGCUCGACUCAAAAUCGAGUUCUGCAAAGAGUGCUGGUUCGAGUCCGGCCAGGGGCACCA